RNAcentral lists this ribosomal RNA (474 nucleotides) under uncultured bacterium. RNAcentral's name for it is "bacterial SSU rRNA". It matches the Rfam family "Bacterial small subunit ribosomal RNA", at positions 328 to 793 of the family's 1533-position model. The record is from RNAcentral.
CACUAUGACUCCUACGGGAGGCAGCAGUGGGGAAUAUUGCACAAUGGGGGAAACCCUGAUGCAGCCAUGCCGGCGUGUGUGAAGAAGGCCUUCGGGUUGUAAAGCACUUUCAGUAGGGAGGAAGGUAGUGUAGUUAACACCUGCACCUAUUUGACGUUACCUACAGAAGAAGCACCGGCUAACUCCGUGCCAGCAGCCGCGGUAAUACGGAGGGUGCGAGCGUUAAUCGGAAUUACUGGGCGUAAAGCGCAUGCAGGCGGCCUGUUAAGUCAGAUGUGAAAGCCCGGGGCUUAACCUCGGAAUUGCAUUUGAAACUGGCAGGCUAGAGUCUUGUAGAGGGGGUAGAAUUUCAGGUGUAGCGGUGAAAUGCGUAGAGAUCUGAAGGAAUACCAGUGGCGAAGGCGGCCCCCUGGACAAAGACUGACGCUCAGAUGCGAAAGCGUGGGGAGCAAACAGGAUUAGAUACCCUGGUAG